This 461-nucleotide ribosomal RNA is filed under the name uncultured Acidimicrobiales bacterium. RNAcentral describes it as "bacterial SSU rRNA". It matches the Rfam family "Bacterial small subunit ribosomal RNA", at positions 28 to 505 of the family's 1533-position model. Lineage: Bacteria; Bacillati; Actinomycetota; Acidimicrobiia; Acidimicrobiales. The record is from RNAcentral.
GACGAACGCUGGCGGCGCGCCUAAUACAUGCAAGUCGAACGAGCACGGACUUCGGUCCAUAUGUGCGAGUGGCGAACGGGUGAGUAACACGUGAGAAACCUGCCUCGGAGACCGGGACAACCAUUGGAAACGAUGGCCAAUACCGGAUGUCCUCUUAUCGUCGCAUGGCGGUCUGAGGAAAUGAUCCGUCGCUCCGGGAGGGUCUCGCGGCCUAUCAGCUUGUUGGUGAGGUAACGGCUCACCAAGGCAUCGACGGGUAGCUGGUCUGAGAGGACGAUCAGCCACACUGGGACUGAGACACGGCCCAGACUCCUACGGGAGGCAGCAGUAGGGAAUCUUGCACAAUGGGCGAAAGCCUGAUGCAGCGACGCCGCGUGGGGGAUGAAGGCCUUCGGGUUGUAAACCCCUUUCAGUAGGGACGAAAAUGACGGUACCUACAGAAGAAGAUCCGGCCAACUACG